CCUCUAGGGCUCGGAGAUUUUCUUUCGGUGAAGGCGAGGGAUCGGAAAAUGGCGAUGUCGAAGGCGAAGGAGCUCGUGUCCUCCAACCCCGUCGUCGUCUUCAGCAAAACGACCUGCCCGUACUGCGUCAGCGUGAAGGAUCUGCUGUCUCAAUUGGGAGUCAACUUUAAGGUCAUCGAACUGGAUCAGGAGGCUGAUGGGAAAGAGGUUCAAUCUGCACUGGCUGAGUGGACCCAACAAAGGACCGUGCCAAAUGUGUUCAUAGGAGGGAACCAUAUCGGUGGCUGUGAUGCUACGACUGCAAUGCACAAUGAGGGAAAGCUCGUUCCCCUGCUGACUCAGGCGGGAGCUCUUGCUAAAGCUUGUUAACAAACUUUUAGCUACUUGGUCGAUCUGUCGACUAGUAAAUAAUUGCAAACUAUUUCUAUAUGGUGGCCAAGUGUUGUGUUUUGGAAUUCAAAUUGGGUGUGUUGGAGAGAUUAGAACCUGCUGUUAAAGGUUCUUUGCAGUGUCCGUCUUGAAAUAUAUGUAUUAGCUUGUGUAGCUCUGCAUGCGGAAGGAGAAAUCGUUUGUUGGAGCUUACGACUUCGUGUUCUUGGAUUGGGUGGGGACGUCUUGUUAUUUCC
This is an RNA transcript of Rhodamnia argentea, 626 nucleotides long. It is a transcript of the gene named glutaredoxin, with no coding region annotated. The transcript has 5 exons. Lineage: Eukaryota; Viridiplantae; Streptophyta; Magnoliopsida; Myrtales; Myrtaceae. The record is from RefSeq and is a predicted model, not a curated record.